CAUUGUACAAUGAAUGUUGCCUAUUUGGUUUUGGUGAUUUGUGUCAGCCGCAAAAUUUAAUUUAUUUUUUGUGCAUAUGAAGCCUUAGAAAUAAUUAGAAUGAGAUGUAAUACAUUAAAUAUUCAACAACGAUGAUAUAUUUAAGAGACCAACAUUUGUACUCAUCAUUUUAUAAUCGAUAAAGAUUGUAGUGUUGAAAAAUGUUAAAAUCAUUUCAUACACAAACAUUAUUAUAAAAAUUUACCCCACACAUAUGCGCAUGUUAUCAUCUAGUAUUCUAUUAAAACAGAAGUACAAAUAGAAAUUAACCCUAACUUUUUUUUUAAAUAUAAACAAUUGAAUGCCACUGGUCUUAAAUUUGUAACUAUAAUUAAUUAAUCCAAUAAUAAACAUAUAUUUGAAAAAAUAUUAACAGAAUCAAUACAAACAAAUUUGUUAAGAAACAAUAACUCCCGAUUUUACUCUUCUUUACAUAUAGGAUAUAUUAAAUAACAUUACAUAUUUAUGGAAACAGUUUGGAUUUGUUUUAAUUAAGAGAAAAAAACAUAUAUAUUAAUAGAUAUGUUCAAUGGAUAUAUAUUAAUAACAUUACCUACAAUCCAUCUACUAAAAAAACAUAUAUAUAUAUAUAUAUAUAUAUAUAUGUGGAUUUAUUAAUAGGCAAAAUGAAAUGUAUACAAAUCAUUCAAAAUCAAAAGC
Molecule: long non-coding RNA, 699 nt
Filed under: Brassica napus (rape)
Lineage: Eukaryota; Viridiplantae; Streptophyta; Magnoliopsida; Brassicales; Brassicaceae
Description: long non-coding RNA (BNAP_LNC011793)
Source: RNAcentral